Long non-coding RNA from Salvia miltiorrhiza (redroot sage), 882 nucleotides. RefSeq lists it as uncharacterized. The record is from RefSeq and is a predicted model, not a curated record. The transcript has 2 exons. Lineage: Eukaryota; Viridiplantae; Streptophyta; Magnoliopsida; Lamiales; Lamiaceae.
UUAAAAAUUUGGGGUUAAUAGUUUGAUUUUAUAAUUUUCAUUAACUGAAACGUAUAUGUAUGCAUUAAAUUAAGAGUUAAUACAUGAAAGUAGCCAUUUUGUUUUAGUAAACUUAAAAUUUAUCCACUCAAAUAAUUUUUUUUUAAAUUACCCACUUUUGUGUUAAAAGACUAAAUUACCCCGAAGAUUAAAAUUAAAAACUACCCACACUAUCUCUCUCUCCUUCCUCCCCCCACCUGCGCUCUCUCUCUCUCUCUCCUCGACGCCCGUCUGUCGCUGGCCCAGCGGCGUGGUGGUCGUAGCACCACCGCUGGCGAAGAUUUCCCCCUUUUCUCUCUCUGAAUCAGAGAUCGAUUUCCUGCGCCAGAUCUUCCAAGCCGCUCUCGUUGCAAGCCUUCUUCGGCCUCUAGAGCAAACCCAAGCCAGAGCCUUCAACUCCAUCAAACUGAUCGUCGGCUGGAAUUAAGGCUUCGGUUGGUGGAAUUGGACUUGGGUGAGAUGGUGGAUUUUGCUGCAUUAUUGGAGGGGUUUGGGAUUUUUGAGGUGGAGAUUAGGGCUUUGUCUUUCCCGCUUCUGGUUACAUCCAUGAAUCCAUGAAAUGAAUUCUUGUUCCUUUCUAGAUUGAAUGGAUAGUGAGAGGAAAUUGAUAUACCAUGAGAGGCAAAGAUUACAAUUCUGCUCAAUUGCUUUUUUUCCCAGUAAAUGCAUCGUCUGCAUUUAUCAGUAUGUUUCAGAAAGAGUGUUGUGUAGUUAAUUUGUUAGGCGCUUUACAUUUCAUUUUGUUAUUUCAGGCGUCUUCCUCUGUAUUUUUCUUAUUUUCAGUUUUUUAAAAAAAGUAUUGUGGAAAAGAAUCAAAAUUUACAAGUUUUCGAUUUUUCACCA